This 527-nucleotide ribosomal RNA is filed under the name uncultured bacterium. RNAcentral describes it as "bacterial SSU rRNA". It matches the Rfam family "Bacterial small subunit ribosomal RNA", at positions 777 to 1304 of the family's 1533-position model. The record is from RNAcentral.
AAUAGAUACCCUGGUAGUCCACGCCGUAAACGAUGUCGACUUGGAGGUUGUUCCCUUGAGGAGUGGCUUCCGGAGCUAACGCGUUAAGUCGACCGCCUGGGGAGUACGGCCGCAAGGUUAAAACUCAAAUGAAUUGACGGGGGCCCGCACAAGCGGUGGAGCAUGUGGUUUAAUUCGAUGCAACGCGAAGAACCUUACCUACUCUUGACAUCCACGGAACUUUUCAGAGAUGAAUUGGUGCCUUCGGGAACCGUGAGACAGGUGCUGCAUGGCUGUCGUCAGCUCGUGUUGUGAAAUGUUGGGUUAAGUCCCGCAACGAGCGCAACCCUUAUCCUUUGUUGCCAGCGGUUAGGCCGGGAACUCAAAGGAGACUGCCAGUGAUAAACUGGAGGAAGGUGGGGAUGACGUCAAGUCAUCAUGGCCCUUACGAGUAGGGCUACACACGUGCUACAAUGGCGCAUACAAAGAGAAGCGACCUCGCGAGAGCAAGCGGACCUCAUAAAGUGCGUCGUAGUCCGGAUUGGAGU